Molecule: long non-coding RNA, 977 nt
Organism: Quercus robur (English oak)
Lineage: Eukaryota; Viridiplantae; Streptophyta; Magnoliopsida; Fagales; Fagaceae
Exons: 3
Source: RefSeq, a predicted model, not a curated record
AAAUCAUUUUAACAGGACCCUAAAUUCAGGAAGGGUUUUCACUUCUCAUACAAAAAGUCAAAAACAUAGACAUACAUCUCCCAGAGCAACUGGUGCGUUCGUCGUGCUCGGACUGCUCGCCCAGCCACCGGUACCUCGCUGCUGCUGCUGCUCCCCUCUCAGGUGGGAGAUCAUAAUUCAUAAACAAUGAAGUCAGAUUCAAAUAGACUUUCCAAAACUCACUCCCACCAUGGUAUUAAUUCCAGCAGUUUUAAGCUCAAACAAACUGCUUCCUGUUUUGACUUUAGAGAACUUUCAAAGGCCCUGAAUGUUGCAUCUUCCUCUUCAUCUUCAUCUUCAUCUGAUGCCAUAAAUAUCGCUUCCAACCAAGAAGGGACUGCUAUUGCUUCUGCUUAUGAUUGCAGCAAGCUCUUGGAGGCACUGCAUGGCAUUCAAGAGGUGUUCAAAUCUAAAGAAGAAGAAUAUUGUAGAGGAAAUGUACAGAGAUGCGAAGGGCGAACCAGAGUAACCGGAAAGAACAGAAAAGCAAGAAUUGAAAGAAGAAGUGUAUCAUCAUCCUUACAUUCCCUUUUCCCACUUUUCUUUUAUGGGGCCAGAUGAAUUGCUAUUGAUAACUCCACUUAUGGUUGUUGAAGGUUUCCAAUGACCAGGUCUAUUUGAGUUGUCUUUUGGCAAUGAAAUUCUUGGACUCUCACCGGGACAAAUGCCAACAAUUCUUAAAAUAGUUUCUUGAAGUUAUUGACUUUCUUGUUUUGUCAUUUAGGGCUAUGUUAUUUAUGUCACUUCUUAGUAUUCUAUGUCUUGAAUUGUAACUUCUAUUUUGGCCCUUUGCUCUGCAUUAUUUUGUCUCUACAUUUUAGUAUUACUUGGAAUAUGUGAUUGUGAUAAUGGGGGAGACUUGCUCUGUUGCGAUACAUGCCCACGUACUAUCAUCUGUGCACUGCUAAUAUGAUCAGUCAGUUUUGCAGAUUCAAAUA